Molecule: ribosomal RNA, 495 nt
Filed under: uncultured bacterium
Lineage: Bacteria
Description: partial 16S ribosomal RNA
Rfam family: Bacterial small subunit ribosomal RNA
Source: RNAcentral
GAUGAACGCUGGCGGCGUGCUUAACACAUGCAAGUCGAGCGAAGCAGUUUUAAGGAAGUUUUCGGACGGAAUUAAAACUGACUUAGCGGCGGACGGGUGAGUAACGCGUGGGUAACCUGCCUCAUACAGGGGGAUAACAGUUAGAAAUGACUGCUAAUACCGCAUAAGCGCACAGUGCUGCAUAGCACAGUGUGAAAAACUCCGGUGGUAUGAGAUGGACCCGCGUCUGAUUAGGUAGUUGGUGAGGUAAUGGCUCACCAAGGCGACGAUCAGUAGCCGACCUGAGAGGGAUACCGGCCACAUUGAGACUGAUACACGGCCCAAAAUCCUACGGGAUGCAGCAGUGGGGAAUAUUGUACCAUGGGGGAAACCCUGAUGCGGCGACGCCGCGCGAGUUAAGAAGUGUUUCGGCAUGUAAAGCUCUUUCAGCAGGGAAGAAACUGACGGUACCUGACUAAGAAGCCCCGGCUAACUACGUGCCAGCCGCCGCAGUAA